Unclassified non-coding RNA from Otolemur garnettii (small-eared galago), 298 nucleotides. It matches the Rfam family "Metazoan signal recognition particle RNA". Rfam says of the family: The signal recognition particle (SRP) is a universally conserved ribonucleoprotein. It is involved in the co-translational targeting of proteins to membranes. NCBI's taxonomy places the organism in Eukaryota, Metazoa, Chordata, Mammalia, Primates, Galagidae. The record is from Ensembl.
GUUGGGCAUGGUGGUGCAUGCCUAUAGUCUCAGCUACUCAAGAGGCUGAGGCAAGAGGAUCACUUGAGCCCAAGAGUUCUGGGCUAUAGCAGGCUAUGCCAAUUAAGUGUCUACACUAAGUUCAGCAUUGAUAUGGUGACCUCCUGGGAGCAGGGCAGCACCAGACUGCCUAAGAGGGGUAAGCCAGCCCAGGCCAGAAAUGCAGCAGGUCAAAAUUCCUAUGUUGGGGAGGCGCCUGUGGCUCAGUGAGUGGGGCACCAGCCCCAUAUACCAAGGGUGGCAAAUUCAAACCUGGGCC